AGUGAACGCUGGCGGUAGGCCUAACACAUGCAAGUCGAACGGCAGCACAGUAAGAGCUUGCUCUUACGGGUGGCGAGUGGAGGACGGGUGAGGAAUACAUCGGAAUCUACUUUUUCGUGGGGGAUAACGUAGGGAAACUUCCGCUAAUACCGCAUACGACCUACGGGUGAAAGCAGGGGAUCUUCGGACCUUGCGCGGUUGAAUGAGCCGAUGUCGGAUUAGCUAGUUGGCGGGGUAAAGGCCCACCAUGGCGACGAUCCGUAGCUGGUCUGAGAGGAUGAUCAGGCACACUGGAACUGAGACACGGUCCACACUCCUACGGGAGGCAGCAGUGGGGAAUAUUGGACAAGGGGCGCAAGCCUGAUCCAGCCAUACCGCGUGGGGGAAGAAGGCCUUCGGGUUGUAAAGCCCUUUUGUUGGGAAAGAAAAGCAGCAGGUUAAUACCCCGCUGUUCUGACGGUACCCAAAGAAUAAGCACCGGCUAACUUCGUG
RNAcentral lists this ribosomal RNA (492 nucleotides) under uncultured bacterium. RNAcentral describes it as "partial 16S ribosomal RNA". It matches the Rfam family "Bacterial small subunit ribosomal RNA", at positions 29 to 507 of the family's 1533-position model. The record is from RNAcentral.